GCUGUUUUGAUGCUCCAGCUAAGGAAAAUCUUUGAAGAUGUUUUUUUCCUCAGAAUGAAGCUCCCCACUGCUACACUAGGGAGGGCAGACAGGUGAGAUGAAGCUUUGACCACAAUAAGCAUGAAACUCUAUGGAGC
Molecule: long non-coding RNA, 137 nt
Filed under: Crocodylus porosus (Australian saltwater crocodile)
Lineage: Eukaryota; Metazoa; Chordata; Crocodylia; Crocodylidae
Description: lncRNA (ENSCPRG00005014359.1)
Source: RNAcentral